AACGCAUCUUGCGCUCCUUGGUACUCCGAGGAGCAUGCCUGUUUGAGUGUCAUUAAAUUCUCAACUCUCUUAUACUUUGUUGUAAAGGAGGGCUUGGAUUGUGGAGGUUUGCUGGCAACUUGUUGGGGCCAGCUCCUCUGAAAUGCAUUAGCGGAACCGUUUGCGAUCUGCCACGAGUGUGAUAAACUAUCUACACUGGCGAGGGGAUUGCUCUGUGUUGUUCAGCUUCUAAUCGUCUCAGUUUUACGAGACAACUUUUUGAAUACUUGACCUCAAAUCAGGUAGGACUACCCGCUGAACUUAA
This 304-nucleotide unclassified non-coding RNA is filed under the name uncultured Agaricus. RNAcentral describes it as "partial contains 5.8S ribosomal RNA, internal transcribed spacer 2, and large subunit ribosomal RNA". The stretch from base 1 to 52 matches the Rfam family "5.8S ribosomal RNA", at positions 103 to 154 of the family's 154-position model. Lineage: Eukaryota; Fungi; Basidiomycota; Agaricomycetes; Agaricales; Agaricaceae. The record is from RNAcentral.